UUCUUGCUGACAACGAAAGGUCCCUCCCAAGGGGGCGAAAGCUUGUGCAUGCCUGCCCUAUCUUGUAUCAGUCGAAGCACCAAAUCGCCUUCCUGGAAGGUCCGACUCUUCACCCGGCGACUGUGAUAACGCCGCAGAUCUUGCUGAUAGAUCGCUGAACGAGACACUGCUAAGUCACGUGCCUCUUCCAAGGCGUCCAAAGAGUCCUGACGCGCCAGCUCGUUGUCCUGCUCCACAUAUGCG
RNAcentral lists this long non-coding RNA (243 nucleotides) under Hordeum vulgare. Its description in RNAcentral is "long non-coding RNA (HVUL_LNC003387)". The record is from RNAcentral. Lineage: Eukaryota; Viridiplantae; Streptophyta; Magnoliopsida; Poales; Poaceae.